CUACGGGGCGCACCAGUGAGGAAUAUUGGGCAAUGGGCGCAAGCCUGACCCAGCAACGCCGCGUGAGGGAAGAAGGUUUUCGGAUUGUAAACCUCUGUCCUUGGGGACGAAGAAGUGACGGUACCCAAGGAGGAAGCUCCGGCUAACUACGUGCCAGCAGCCGCGGUAAUACGUAGGGAGCAAGCGUUGUCCGGAAUUACUGGGCGUAAAGGGUGCGUAGGCGGCAUAUUAAGUCAGGUGUGAAAUACUCGGGAUCAACCCGGGGGCUGCAUUUGAAACUGAUAUGCUUGAGUGUGAGAGAGGAAAGUGGAAUUCCUAGUGUAGCGGUGGAAUGCGUAGAUAUUAGGAGGAACACCAGUGGCGAAGGCGACUUUCUGGCUCAUAACUGACGCUGAGGCACAAAAGCGUGGGGAGCAAACAGGAUUAGAUACCCUAGUAGUC
This 441-nucleotide ribosomal RNA is filed under the name uncultured bacterium. Its description in RNAcentral is "partial 16S ribosomal RNA". It matches the Rfam family "Bacterial small subunit ribosomal RNA", at positions 339 to 795 of the family's 1533-position model. The record is from RNAcentral.